Molecule: long non-coding RNA, 576 nt
Filed under: Homo sapiens (human)
Lineage: Eukaryota; Metazoa; Chordata; Mammalia; Primates; Hominidae
Description: HSALNT0361842
Source: RNAcentral
UUUAUGUUAUAAAAUCUGAACUUUUUCAUUGAAGAGUCUCUAAAAUGCUCUACAUAGAUUUUAUUCUGAUCUUCUAUUUCUUUUUUGAGCCUGUCAAUUAAUUAUCUCUGGACAAUACUUUGUGCCUUGUUUUAUGUUUCAGAAUUCCAGAUACUCAAGGUUGGAGAGCUACUAACCCAGUACAUGAAUUCCCAGUGUAUCUUUCAGUGUUCUGAACCUGUAUUUUACAUUUUCAGAAAAGUUGACCACAGAAGCAUGUUUAUAUUGUAUUAAAACAAACUAUUUUUCUGGAAAGUUUUCCCAUUAAGCGUCUAACCUCCAAGCAUCGAAUCCCAGGCCAAUUUGUUUCAAAGUACCAACCUGGAGAAAAUGCCCUGGAUUUGGAAGCAAAGUAUUGAAUGUUGGAAGUCUGAAUAAAGGAAUCAUACACUGUAUGUGCACCUGAAUGUACUUUACAAGCAUCAGUAGAACACUUCUGAUUGAAGCUUGGUCUUAUGAAGAUAAAAAUUUUAUGUGGACCACAGAUUCUCUAAAAAUCAGGACAUGGGUGAAGCUGGAAACCAUCAUCCUCAACAA